UACGUGGUAGGAGAUGGCGUUCCUCCUUUAACCGCAGCGAUUUCUUAGCUGCUGAUGACGCCUACAGACAC
This 71-nucleotide non-coding RNA is filed under the name Stenotrophomonas sp. Its description in RNAcentral is "Fluoride sequence". It matches the Rfam family "Fluoride riboswitch aptamer (crcB RNA motif)". The record is from RNAcentral. Lineage: Bacteria; Pseudomonadati; Pseudomonadota; Gammaproteobacteria; Lysobacterales; Lysobacteraceae.